UUCCAGGAGGACCCCGGAACUAAGAAUCUUCAGUUUAGGGAACUCAAAUAGAAAUGUUGCCCCCGGAACCCUUUACCAGGCGUAGCAAGAAGUCUUUUGCGGAGGAAAAUCCGGUUUCCAGCCCCGCACCGUACAUUGCUUACCAUAUAUGGACUGCUUUGAAAACUAGCCAAUCAACUUGUGCCAACUUUGAAAUUUCCCUAACCCCUUAAAUUUUGCCCCAAACCCUGGCUGGGACGGGGGAGACAGAUUUGAGCCCUGCCUCCUGUCUCCUUAUUGCUACCUCGCAAUAAAGCUCUUUCUUUUCUCAAAAGUUAGUGCCGUAGUAUUGGCUUCUAAGGGCGCCAGGCAGUGAACAUGGUCCGUUCUGGUAAGAAUUUCUGGCGACGGUGAAGGGACCAAGGUCUUGCGAUCGCCUGUCUGAGGCACUGUAGCCCCCGGCUGGGUGUAGGCCCUCGCCACCGACCCUGAGUGGCCACCUAGACUGAAUUUGUCUAGAGGCUCGGCUGUCGGGUUCCUGCUUCCCGCCGCUGCGGCGCUCCAGGCUUCUCUACGUUACUCUCACUUUUGGGGAAAGAAACAGCUCCCGGAUCUUUUGGACAUCCCUGUGCACUGUCUAAACCCAAGGAAUUGCAUCCUCCUCAAAUGUGGAAAAUCACUACCCCGAGGAUCAACUGCAACCCAAGUGGAAUAUGGGCCCUUUGAGGUCCCUCUGGUUACACAUUCUUCAGCCUCGCUCAAAGGAGUUAAACCUUGGAUACAUCACUCCCGAGUAAAAAUUGUACCCAUUUCCAACCAGCACCCACCUUGUGCCCUUUACGGUUCCCAAAUGGGACAUACUCUCCAUGGACAGGAGGGAGGAGGAGGACCCAGCACCAGAGGGGCCUAGAAACCCACUAUGGACUUCUUGGCCUCUAAUUAUAAAUUACUUUUCAAAUAGAAAUAGGACAGGAGUUCCUGCUGUGGCUCAAGGGGAUCAGCUGCAUCUCUGGUGCGCCCAGAUGCAGGUUUGAUUCCCCAGCCCAGAAUAGUGGGUUAAGGAUCCAGCGUUGCCCCAGCUGUGGUGUAGGUCACAACUGCAUCUUGAAUCUGAUCCCUGGCCUGGGAACUCCAUACGCCGCGGGGCGACCAAAAGAGAAAAGAAAAGAAACGGGACAGCUAAGACUCUACCUGGCCAGGAAGAGAAGAGGACAUUUCAAAAGUAGACAGCUUCUGCCCAGAAGUCUCAACCAGGCCUACAUACAUCCGAAUCAAAUCACUAAAAAUGUUAAAAAUAGUGUGUUUUCAUGGAUUCCCAAAGGAAUAAGGUCUGUUUUUGGAGAAAUGUUAAAAUUAGGACUCAGUUUUGUGUAUAUUGGGAUUAACCCCUUUACUCACCAAAUUUUUUACUUAUCGUCUGUCCUGUAUAUUUAAAAAGGCCUCCCAGAUUCACAUGAUGAUUGCCCAAGACUUAAGAGUUCAAGGUGGGACUCAGGAAUAUUUACAAUCCAGUGCAAAAACAAUUUCAUUCCUCUAUGUCCCUAAUCUACGCCCCUAAUCAGCAGGAAGCAGCUAGAGCGGUCGUCGCCCUAUUUCCCUUAAGAUAGAGGAAUGUACAAAGCAAAGGGGGGAAUAGAAACUGCACAUAAAAUGUUGACCUGCUUUCACUGGUUUUGCUUCCUUAAAUAGGCUGUUGUUUAAUCAAACCUUGAGUUAUUUUAUAGAGACAGCAUGGCGCGUGUACAAGAUGGAAGCCCUGGAGGACCCUGGAACCAAGAAUCUUCAAGUCUUUGGAACUCAGACAAUAGAAAUGUUGCUGCUGGAGCCCUUCACCAAGCAAGAAGUUCUUCAGUAAGAAAAACCUGGGAAUUCCCUGGUGGCUCAGCAGGUUAAGGAUCCAGCAUUAUCACUGCUGUGGUGUGGUUUCCAUUUCGGCCCAGGAACUGCUGCCUGCCACAGGCGUGGCCAAGGAAAAGAAAAAUCUGGCUUCUAGCUGCCCAAGUAGCUUGAUUCCAAUCAGCUUCUGACUUUUAAGACUAGCCAAUCAGUUUCUGCCAAGUUUGAAGCUCCCCUCACCCUUUACCUUUUGCCCUGAACACUGGAUAGGGAGACAGAUUUGAGCCCUGCCUCCUGUUUUAUUGACUUCACAGUAAAACUUGCUUUUUUCAAAAACCGGUGCCAUAGCAUUGGCUUCUAUGUGUGUCAGACAGAGAGUGCUUCUUGGUAACAAAAGCCUGAGAAAUGU
Phacochoerus africanus (Common warthog) is the source of this 2224-nucleotide long non-coding RNA. RefSeq lists it as uncharacterized. NCBI's taxonomy places the organism in Eukaryota, Metazoa, Chordata, Mammalia, Artiodactyla, Suidae. The transcript has 2 exons. The record is from RefSeq and is a predicted model, not a curated record.